This 299-nucleotide long non-coding RNA is filed under the name Salvia miltiorrhiza (redroot sage). Its description in RNAcentral is "long non-coding RNA (SMIL_LNC013159)". Lineage: Eukaryota; Viridiplantae; Streptophyta; Magnoliopsida; Lamiales; Lamiaceae. The record is from RNAcentral.
UAAAUUAAAUUUUAUUAAAAAGAGAAAGUGAAAAAACGAACCAAGAACCCUUGAGUGCACAAACAACAAACUAAGGGCCGAGCCUCAUUAAAACCCUUUUAAGGCAAACCUGGUCGGAAAAUCCUUAAAAGGGAAAAAGAGUACUCGUCUAAAAAGGAGCUGUGUGGGAACGGAAGUGAGACAACUUCAGAGAUUCCGGCCGAACCAUCACCCCUAAGCAGCUCGGUUCCCGAACACAUCAAAGCAAACCAACAAAAGAGAACAAGCAAAGAAGAAGCAAAAACACGACCAACCAAAAA